CGCCUCUUGAAAAACCCAUAAGAGGUCCAGCCUGCCCAGGGACUUUGUUCAACGGCCGCGGUAUCCUAACCGUGCGAAGGUAGCGUAAUCACUUGUUCUUUAAAUGAGGACUAGUAUGAAUGGCACCACGAAGGUUAUACUGUCUCCUUCCUCUAAUCAGUGAAACUAAUCUCCCCGUGAAGAAGCGGGGAUAAACCUAUAAGACGAGAAGACCCUAUGGAGCUUUAAACACAGUAAUAAAUGCCCCCCCCCCCUUUUUUCUAUCCAAAUCUCCGGAAAACUACUUUAUCUGAGCAUCCUAAUUACAAGUUUUAGGUUGGGGUGACCGCGGAGUAAAAAAUAACCUCCACAGUGAAUGGGAUCUCUCCCUAAACUCAGGGCCACAGCCCUAAAAAUCAAUAAAUUGACACCCAUUGACCCAAUAUUUUUGAUCAAUGAACCAAGUUACCCUAGGGAUAACAGCGCAAUCCACUUCAAGAGCUCCUAUCGACAAGUGGGUUUACGACCUCGAUGUUGGAUCAGGGUACCCCAGUGGUGCAGCCGCUGCUAAAGGUUCGUUUGUUCAACGAUAAAACCCUA
Molecule: ribosomal RNA, 579 nt
Filed under: Leptodactylus colombiensis
Lineage: Eukaryota; Metazoa; Chordata; Amphibia; Anura; Leptodactylidae
Description: partial 16S ribosomal RNA
Rfam family: Bacterial large subunit ribosomal RNA
Source: RNAcentral